GCUAAUGUUGCACCAAUAUUUGAGAAAAGUAAACAGGAUGACCCAGCUAAUUAUAGUCCCGUCAGUCUGAAAUUGAUCUCAAGAAAGAUAAUGGAGGGGAAAAUACAGGACUCAAUCAAUAAGGAAGUAAAUGAGGUGCCCAGUUGAUACCAGGAUUUGGACAAAGGCAAGUUGGUUUAAAGCUCAGUCUGGCCAAGCUAGAGAUUUCAUCUGGAGGACUGGAUUGCUCAUUAGUAUAAGCCUCAUCAGCGAGACAUCUGAACAUUUUCACUGGCAUUCCAAUAAGACCUCAGUCCGCAAUCAAUCCUCAGCAUGACACAGCACAAUGGAUGCCGAGGACUCAAGCAAAGAAAGAGCACUCACAGAAGCACUAAAUCAUCACAACAUCAGUUCAUUUUACACUGACAAGGAUUCUUAAGAUAAGGGUUUAAAGCCAAACAAUCUAGGUACCUGUUUCAGUGAAAUAGGAAGCUUAUUUCUAAGUCUUUUAUAAUUCUUCUCAUGAUCUCCUUCCCCUUCAUCAUUCAAUCUCUUUCAACAGCCUCAUAUAUGAGAACAUAAUAAAAAUGUUGUGAUGUCCCCCUGGUAAAUAAAAGGUACGAUGAGA
Long non-coding RNA from Mauremys reevesii (Reeves's turtle), 607 nucleotides. RefSeq lists it as uncharacterized. The record is from RefSeq and is a predicted model, not a curated record. The transcript is spliced from 3 exons. Lineage: Eukaryota; Metazoa; Chordata; Testudines; Geoemydidae.